GAUGAACGCUGGCGGCGUGCCUAAUACAUGCAAGUCGAGCGAACAGACGAGGAGCUUGCUCCUCUGACGUUAGCGGCGGACGGGUGAGUAACACGUGGAUAACCUACCUAUAAGACUGGGAUAACUUCGGGAAACCGGAGCUAAUACCGGAUAAUAUAUUGAACCGCAUGGUUCAAUAGUGAAAGACGGUUUUGCUGUCACUUAUAGAUGGAUCCGCGCCGCAUUAGCUAGUUGGUAAGGUAGCGGCUUACCAAGGUAACGAUGCGUAGCCGACCUGAGAGGGUGAUCGGCCACACUGGAACUGAGACACGGUCCAGACUCCUACGGGAGGCAGCAGUAGGGAAUCUUCCGCAAUGGGCGAAAGCCUGACGGAGCAACGCCGCGUGAGUGAUGAAGGUCUUCGGAUCGUAAAACUCCGUUAUUAGGGAAGAACAAAUGUGUAAGUAACUAUGCACGUCUUGACGGUACCUAAUCAGAAAGCCACGGCUAACUACGUG
Molecule: ribosomal RNA, 497 nt
Filed under: uncultured bacterium
Lineage: Bacteria
Description: partial 16S ribosomal RNA
Rfam family: Bacterial small subunit ribosomal RNA
Source: RNAcentral